Molecule: long non-coding RNA, 396 nt
Organism: Heterocephalus glaber (naked mole-rat)
Lineage: Eukaryota; Metazoa; Chordata; Mammalia; Rodentia; Bathyergidae
Source: Ensembl
GACAACCAGCAGCCAUGCUGCUGUCCCCCUCAAAGGACCUCCACACAGGGAGCAUCCUCAGACCCAGGCUUCCCUCAGAUGGGAAAGAUUUCAGACCAUCCAAAGGAAAAAGGAAUGAAUGUGUUUUCCUUUAACCGAUGAUCCUGAAGCCAGUUUCCUUCACAGCAGCCUUUUAUCUCCCACAUAGACAACUCUCUCCUGCAUGCCUACCCAUGGCAUUGCUUAACAAAGAGCGCCACCCCAUGUCUUGCUAGAAGAAAUGCAAAUAUGGCUGAGUGCAGAUGUACCAGCUGCAGACACCCCAACACCUGCCUUGAAACAGGUAUGAGCAGAUAGCAGUAUUGCCAGGCACCAGGAGUUCCGAUCCAUGGCUUAAAGGGCACUUCUUAGCUGAAC